UUUAUGGGGAUUCCCGGUGUGAAUUGCAGAAUCCCGUGACCCAUCGAGUUUUUGACGCAGUUGCGCCCGAAGCCUUUUGGCCGAGGGCACGUCUGCCUGGGCGUCA
Molecule: ribosomal RNA, 106 nt
Filed under: Anacyclus pyrethrum
Lineage: Eukaryota; Viridiplantae; Streptophyta; Magnoliopsida; Asterales; Asteraceae
Description: partial 5.8S ribosomal RNA
Rfam family: 5.8S ribosomal RNA
About the family: 5.8S ribosomal RNA (5.8S rRNA) is a component of the large subunit of the eukaryotic ribosome.
Source: RNAcentral